Molecule: long non-coding RNA, 2752 nt
Organism: Phacochoerus africanus (Common warthog)
Lineage: Eukaryota; Metazoa; Chordata; Mammalia; Artiodactyla; Suidae
Exons: 2
Source: RefSeq, a predicted model, not a curated record
CCUGCAGGGCCGGUGGGUCUCCCGGCGGUGCGGCGGGGCAGACGUGUUACAGGGAAGGGAGGGAUUUUUGCGAAGAGGAGGGAGCGGGGAGUAGCCGGCAGCUUCACAGGACGGGACGCCGGGAACCGUCAGCCUCCUCCCGUCUUUUCUUCUUUCUGGACCUGACGGGACCUCUCGAUUGACAGUCGAGGGUUCGAACCGGCAGACAGACGCGCGGUGCGGGGACCGUAGACUAAAAGGCGGGGGAGGCCAUGAUUCCUGCGGGCGGGCCGUGGAUCUGGGCGCCUCGACCGCCACCCAGACCCACGCCCAAUCCUUCGGCGCUUCUCGAAGCUCCCGCGGCAAUUUCGGUCUUUGGGGGCUGGACCAGUUGAGAGCGCCUGCCGGAAGGGGCUGCCUCCCUGGAUGGGGGCAAAAUUUGCAUUUCUCCGCUAUCAGUUCAGGGAGAAAAGUCAGUAACUCAUCGGGAUCAAAACUGUGACAUCUGGAGUUCCCGCUGUAGCGCAGCGGGUUAAGGAUCCGGUGUGGUCUGUGCGGCGGCUCAGGUUGCUGCUGGGAUUCGAUCCCUGGCCGGGGAACUUUAUGCCAGGAGUGCCGCUGUGGGGAGGGGGGAGUGAUAUCUGAUUCCCCACCAAUUACCAGGAGGACAGUAUCCACUUUAUACUGACCAGGAAACCUAGAGUGAGGAAAGAAAAUCAGACUUUAAAUAAAUUCCAGGCAGCAGGCGUUUCCUGUCCCUCAGUUAAGAGGAUUGCCACCCUCUGUCCGCAUCCAGUAAUACACCAGGUGACAUCUGGAUCCCAAAGCGCUUUACCUCCGAAUAAUCUGUCAUCCCGAUUCAGUUUGUAGAUAGGAGCCCCCUCACUUCCAACAUCAGUACCUAAAUUGCAAGGUGGAAUCAAGACCAUGUAGACACAGAUCGAGGUAUGAGGCUUUAAAGUUCCAUGUCUUAGGUUUUCCUCAAUAGAAGGUUAUUGGGACUGACACCGGAUCCUUUACCCACUGAGCAGGGCCAGGGAUCUGCCCCGCGUCUUCACGGGUACUAGUAGGGUUCAUUACUGCUGAGCCACAACGGGAACUCCUGACGGCUAAUUCUUUCCGUCUGUCUGACACACAGUUGUCUUCGACAGGGGUAGAAACGCUUGGUGGAGGGAAGGCCUACAGACAGGCGCCCUGUCGGGGUCAACGUGCCUCACCUGGCUCAUCCUGCCGCGCGCUCUGAGGCGUAGAAAUGUUCUACCUCCGAACACUUGAAGUGUGGCUUAUGUGACCGAGGAACUGAGUUUUCAAAAAUUUUGUUUUGAUUAAUUUACACUUAAAGAGCCACUGGUAGCUAGUAUUGUCUUUGUGCUAGCCCCAGAGGCCCCCCGCCGUCUGUGGAAAAAUCAGUUUUAUUAAAAUGUCUCGGAGUUCCUGCGUGGUACAGUGUGUUAAGAAUUGGACUGUACUGGCUCGGGUCGCAGAGCAGGUUGCACGUUCAAUCCCGGGUCUGGCGCGGUGGAUUAAAGGAUCUGGGGUUGCUGCAGCUGCAGUGUGGUUCACAGCCUUGGCUCAGAUUCCGUACCUGGUCCAGGAACUUCCAUAUGCUGCGGGUGCGGUUAUAAAGUAACAAUAAUAAUACCAAUAAAAUGUUUCUUCCAUCUGAUAGUUGAUUAAGGAUUUGAAGAAAUACUGCAUAGAUAUUAUUUGUUAGAACAGGCAAUAGAACACUACAAGACAUUUAAUUUUUAUUUCCUUUUUUUUUUUAGUUUUUCUUUUUCAGUCACCCCUGUGGCAUGUGGAGGUUCCUGGGCCAGGGAUCGAGUCUGAGCUACAACUGCAGCAAUGCCAGAUCCUUAACCCCCGUGCCGGGCCAGAAAUUAAACCUGUGCCCCAGAGCUCCAGAGACGCCAGCGAUCCCAUUGUGCCACCGUGGGAACCCCAAGCACUUGCUUUUCUAAGUUUGAGUAGCGGUAAGAGUCCCCUUCCGUCCAGGAACCUUCCCGGGAAUGACAAAUAACAGCAGGUGUGUAUGUCUCAGCUUCGGGCUCUCUGGCCCCGCGGCAACAGCCUUCUUCAACCGUCACCUCCUCCCUGUGGUUCUUCUGACCAUUAGUAACCUUGGCCUAACACUGAGCGGGAGGAAGGAGACAGGAAGUGCUGUGUAAUAUUUAGUAGCUGUGCCAGCUCCUGAGGGGGAGGCCUUGGAAUCAUCUCCCAGCUCCAAGCAGCAUCAUACAGAGCACCCAUCAGGAGGAAGCAGGCUUUACCAAAAGACUCACAGGGUGCGGGUGGGGGUCGGGUCAUGUCCGAGUUCCUGUCCCUAAAGACAAGGUCUCCUUAGAGCUGAAGGUUUAGCCUGGAAAACUCUUUUCUUUUUUGUCCUCCUCAGGAAAGCACGGUUGUGCCACUUUGUAUUCUUGCAACAGUUCCACCUCGGAGAGCAAUGAAAGCUGCAGCUACAAUGUACGGAACAGGAACUCAGGACCGUACAUUGUGUUUCACAACUGUUGCUGCCUUUGGUCUCACACUUGAUUGUCUGCAGCUCAGGCUUCAGGAUGAGAAGCUUGAGUCUGGAGGUGCUGACUUUUCCCCUCAUCGCAGUGUUCCUGAGACCAUCCAAGCUGUUGCAUGUAUCAGUACAUCUUUCCUUUUCUUUCCUGAGUCAUAGUCCAUGCUCAGGAUGUACCACAGUUUGUUCAAGCAAGAGGGACAUUUUGGCUUGCUCCCAAGUUUUUGUCUGUUACAAAUAAAGUUUCUGUGAACAACUGUG